CCUAUACGUCGUUUCCUCUGGCCAAUAGACACAUGGAUAUUGUUUGUUACUUUUAGAAAUAUGUACAUGCAGUGGAUGCCAGACUACAGCUGAACAAAGCCGGUGCCUUGUGCCGGAGAUGGAGCACAAUGUUUGCCUUGUCCCCUGACAUUCCAGAGGCCACCCACAUCCACGCAGUCAGACUUCUUGGAAAACUGCUCUGGUCAUGGCCCAGUGCUCAGAAUCUACAUGAGCAAUUUACCUCCACAGAAGAAAAGAACUUGGAAGUCACUUUCCGGAGGACAGGGUACACGAAGCUUAGAACAAUGAAUGAUCAGCAAUCCUUGAUGGUGUCCAUUUUAGAAACGGAAUGAAAACGAGAGCCAUUAUUGAGGAGUUAGAAGGUAGAACAAACUGUCUUCCGUUGAAGUCAUCAUUGUCUUGUAACGCUGGUCCUCAGAAGUGAGAGACCGGAUAAAAUACAACAAUAAUUAUUACAAGUAAUAAGGGGAACUAUGUCCAAGAAAUGACAGUUUCAGACGGACGAGUCCAUUUGAACAAUCAAUAACACUUCAAUGCUCCUCUUAGAUGAUAUUUUGUGGUUAUAGUUUAUGGUUAGCAUUCUCUUCACAUCAAAGGACUCGCUUUAUUGGUUCUCUGGAGAUGUACAGGAGUUGGAAGAAAAGAACUAAAGUGCUUAUGCAUUGACAUCGACUGAGAGGACUGUGAAAAGUCACCUUCUGUGCCUACUCCACCUUUCACAAACACAUCCUUUAAUAGAGUACAUUUGAAAACAAGUUGCAAUCUUACUGCUGCAAAAUAUCUAAUGAAUCACCAAGUUAUUUUGUUAGAAUUGCUUCAGAUGACUAAAAUAUCAAUUUGCUUCUGAUUGGAAUCCAGACAACUUGGUAUCAAAACAAUAAUUAAGUUUCUUCCCCACCGCCUUCCCAUUUCUCUUUUUGAGACAGGCUCUCACUCUGUAACCCAGGCUAGCCUUGAACUCAAACCAAUCCUCCUGCCUCAGCCUCGUGGGUGUUAUUUUUUUUUUCAUUUAUGGGUAUGAAUGUUUUGCCUGUGCCCCAUGUGUGUAGAAUAUUCGUGGAGGCCAGCAAAGGACAUCUGCAACUAGAGUUAUAGGCAGUUGCGCGCCACCAUGUGAAUGAUAGCAACCAAUCCCCAGUGCUCUUAACCAUGACGCCACCUCUGCAGCCCCAGUCUUGGUUAUUUUAAAGAAUGUGUUAUUUAUAAGCACUUAGAAAUAUGUAUAAUGUAUUGUUUAUGGGUUAGGUGUGAAUAGCUUUCAUGUCAUGAGCAGAGAAUAUGAAUAGUCUGUGCCAGGCAUAGAAAUAUAUGUCUGUUAUUUCAGGACUCAAG
This 1353-nucleotide long non-coding RNA is filed under the name Mus spicilegus (steppe mouse). Its description in RNAcentral is "lncRNA (ENSMSIG00000029990.1)". Lineage: Eukaryota; Metazoa; Chordata; Mammalia; Rodentia; Muridae. The record is from RNAcentral.